UGUAGGCUGGGACUAUGUAAACCUUUCC
RNAcentral lists this non-coding RNA (28 nucleotides) under Mus musculus (house mouse). Lineage: Eukaryota; Metazoa; Chordata; Mammalia; Rodentia; Muridae. The record is from RNAcentral.